RNAcentral lists this ribosomal RNA (498 nucleotides) under Escherichia coli. Its description in RNAcentral is "partial 23S ribosomal RNA". It matches the Rfam family "Bacterial large subunit ribosomal RNA", at positions 2143 to 2640 of the family's 2925-position model. The record is from RNAcentral. Lineage: Bacteria; Pseudomonadati; Pseudomonadota; Gammaproteobacteria; Enterobacterales; Enterobacteriaceae.
AUAGGUGGGAGGCUUAGAAGUGUGGACGCCAGUCUGCAUGGAGCCGACCUUGAAAUACCACCCUUUAAUGUUUGAUGUUCUAACGUUGACCCGUGAUCCGGGUUGCGGACAGUGUCUGGUGGGUAGUUUGACUGGGGCGGUCUCCUCCUAAAGAGUAACGGAGGAGCACGAAGGUUGGCUAAUCCUGGUCGGACAUCAGGAGGUUAGUGCAAUGGCAUAAGCCAGCUUGACUGCGAGCGUGACGGCGCGAGCAGGUGCGAAAGCAGGUCAUAGUGAUCCGGUGGUUCUGAAUGGAAGGGCCAUCGCUCAACGGAUAAAAGGUACUCCGGGGAUAACAGGCUGAUACCGCCCAAGAGUUCAUAUCGACGGCGGUGUUUGGCACCUCGAUGUCGGCUCAUCACAUCCUGGGGCUGAAGUAGGUCCCAAGGGUAUGGCUGUUCGCCAUUUAAAGUGGUACGCGAGCUGGGUUUAGAACGUCGUGAGACAGUUCGGUCCCUA